UCGAAGAAGAAACCCUAGCUCUAGUGCCGGAGGCCCUCCUCUUCCCUUGCUUUCCUUAAUAUUUUUUUUUGCUUCUCCCUCGAUGCUUUCUUCCCGGCCGAUAUGCGGAUGACUCUGGUUUGGUCGAGUUAAGCUGGAAACUCGCAUCGUGUGGGUGAUGGUCUAGCUCAAGCUUGCCUUGGAGGAGUGGCGAGGCUAGUGGAACGGUGGAAGAGGAAGAAGUCGGCUUUUAGGGUUCUGCUGAGCCAGAUCUAGUUUUCUCUUUUUAGAUCUCUGGCGAACCAAGCUCAGUAUCGGCGCGUUGUCUGGCAAGACGACUCCUCCACCCUAGAUCUUUGCUCCAACGAGGCGGUGAGGCAAUCAGAGGAGAGGACCGAUAACUUGUGUAUAGAGGUUUGUCUUCUGGUUCUCAGAAACAACACGUACCAAAGGAGACGACGAUGGAGUGGUCAACCGGAGAAGUCAACCUGCGGCGGUUCAUGGUGGAGGUCUACAUCCCAGCACCGGAAAGUGCUUUAUGUUCUCUGCCGCCGUCGGACAUCGUUGUCAGGUUUGAGGCUGAAGAACAGAGAGCUGAAAGCUGGUGGUGACGAAGCUGUUUUGGGUCUGCACCUUUGGUGUUGUUGCUCUUGGGCCAAGAACAUCACUCCUAUCAUUAGGUCCCAAAAGCUUAGAGCUUUAAUGACUUCCAGAAUAGGUUUUGUCAGUACCGUUAGUAAGUGAUUCUGCGCUAGAGGUCUAAUUUAAGUGGUUUAAGAAUCAAAUCUUUCUGAUUGUAGGAGGAGUUUGUGUUCAAUGGGAUGAAAGUUACAACAUAGACAUAGAUUAGGUAGCGUUUGGUUCAAGUAGGGAUCUUAGGUGUUACUAAAUCUCUAUGUUGUAAGUUUGGUUCAAAUACUCUUGUGGUGGAAAAUCUUGUAUCCCUUCUUGGUAAUAUGAAGUUGAUGUUGAGUAAAAGUA
This is a long non-coding RNA of Brassica napus (rape), 960 nucleotides long. RefSeq lists it as uncharacterized. The transcript is spliced from 2 exons. Lineage: Eukaryota; Viridiplantae; Streptophyta; Magnoliopsida; Brassicales; Brassicaceae. The record is from RefSeq and is a predicted model, not a curated record.